RNAcentral lists this ribosomal RNA (247 nucleotides) under uncultured bacterium. RNAcentral describes it as "partial 16S ribosomal RNA". It matches the Rfam family "Bacterial small subunit ribosomal RNA", at positions 92 to 339 of the family's 1533-position model. The record is from RNAcentral.
CGACCGGCGCACGGGUGCGUAACGCGUAUGCAACCUACCUUUUACAGAGGGAUAGCCCAGAGAAAUUUGGAUUAAUACCUCAUAGUAUUAUAGAAUGGCAUCAUUUUAUAAUUAAACAUUUAUGGGUAAAAGAUGGCUAUGCGUUCUAUUAGCUAGAUGGUAAGGUAACGGCUUACCAUGGCAACGAUAGAUAGGGGUCCUGAGAGGGAGAUCCCCCACACUGGUACUGAGACAGGGACCAGACUCC